UACGUAGGGGGCGAGCGUUGUCCGGAUUCAUUGGGCGUAAAGCGCGCGCAGGCGGCCUGGCAAGUCGGCCGUGAAAUCUCCGGGCUCAACUCGGAGGGGUCGGGCGAGACUGCGAGGCUGGAGGCGGGUAGAGGGCAGUGGAAUUCCGGGUGUAGUGGUGGAAUGCGUAGAGCUCCGGAGGAACACCAGUGGCGAAGGCGGCUGCCUGGGCCCGGCCUGACGCUGAGGCGCGAAAGCGUGGGGAGCGAUCCGG
RNAcentral lists this ribosomal RNA (253 nucleotides) under uncultured bacterium. RNAcentral describes it as "partial 16S ribosomal RNA". It matches the Rfam family "Bacterial small subunit ribosomal RNA", at positions 524 to 776 of the family's 1533-position model. The record is from RNAcentral.